GAUGAACGCUGACAGAAUGCUUAACACAUGCAAGUCAACUUGAAUUUGGGUUUUUAACUUAGGUUUGGGUGGCGGACGGGUGAGUAACGCGUAAAGAACUUGCCUCACAGCUAGGGACAACAUUUGGAAACGAAUGCUAAUACCUAAUAUUAUGAUAAUAGGGCAUCCUAUAAUUAUGAAAGCUAUAAGCGCUGUGAGAGAGCUUUGCGUCCCAUUAGCUAGUUGGAGAGGUAACGGCUCACCAAGGCGAUGAUGGGUAGCCGGCCUGAGAGGGUGAUCGGCCACAAGGGGACUGAGACACGGCCCUUACUCCUACGGGAGGAAGCAGUGGGGAAUAUUGGACAAUGGACCGAGAGUCUGAUCCAGCAAUUCUGUGUGCAAGAUGAAGUUUUUCGGAAUGUAAAGUGCUUUCAGUUGGGAAGAAACAAAUGACGGUACCAACAGAAGAAGUGACGGCUAAAUACGUG
RNAcentral lists this ribosomal RNA (467 nucleotides) under uncultured bacterium. Its description in RNAcentral is "partial 16S ribosomal RNA". It matches the Rfam family "Bacterial small subunit ribosomal RNA", at positions 28 to 507 of the family's 1533-position model. The record is from RNAcentral.